ACUCAACGCUAUUCAAUUAAAAAGGAUGAGUCUUGAUUAGGAAAGCAUGCCGCCAUAGAGUGGAUCCUUGAUCAAUCAGUUAGUCCUAAACUUGUUUUUUUGGAGUUU
RNAcentral lists this small RNA (108 nucleotides) under Lutibacter sp. Hel_I_33_5. RNAcentral describes it as "6S-Flavo RNA". It matches the Rfam family "6S-Flavo RNA". Lineage: Bacteria; Pseudomonadati; Bacteroidota; Flavobacteriia; Flavobacteriales; Flavobacteriaceae. The record is from Rfam by way of RNAcentral.